AUGGAGCCACAGGGGUUUAUUUCUCAAACUUCAGCUUCCAGCCCUUGUCAGAUCCUCUCUGGGCCCUUGUUCCCUGGAGCUGACAUGUUGAUGCUUUCAGUUGUAUCUGGUACUGGAGGCUGGUACUACAACAAUGAUUUGGGAGAUCUUGAGGAGUGGCAAGAAUGGGCAAGUGCCUUGAAAGUCUUCAGCAAGGAAGGACUGAUGCAGGAAGCAGUAAUUUCAAUGGACACUGAUUUGGAGCAGCAGUUUUUAAGGAGUUGUGUAUGUUGUUUCCACUUAUGCUAAGCCAGUUUAUAUUUUGUCCUGACUCUUUUACUUUCCUUCUAAAAUUGUACCAUCUUUCAACUUUGGCCUCACAAAGCUGUCGACUAAAUAUGUGGGGGAAUUCUAAUAAAAUAUAUUUGAAUUAGUAUCA
RNAcentral lists this long non-coding RNA (418 nucleotides) under Cyanistes caeruleus (blue tit). Its description in RNAcentral is "lncRNA (ENSCCEG00000010061.1)". The record is from RNAcentral. Lineage: Eukaryota; Metazoa; Chordata; Aves; Passeriformes; Paridae.